GGCUACGUAGCUCAGUUGGUUAGAGCACAUCACUCAUAAUGAUGGGUCACAGGUUCGAAUCCCGUCGUAGCCACCA
This 76-nucleotide transfer RNA is filed under the name Escherichia coli. Its description in RNAcentral is "tRNA-Met". It matches the Rfam family "tRNA". Rfam says of the family: Transfer RNA (tRNA) molecules are approximately 80 nucleotides in length. Lineage: Bacteria; Pseudomonadati; Pseudomonadota; Gammaproteobacteria; Enterobacterales; Enterobacteriaceae. The record is from RNAcentral. RNAcentral also lists the same sequence under 4 other names.